RNAcentral lists this ribosomal RNA (503 nucleotides) under uncultured archaeon. Its description in RNAcentral is "bacterial SSU rRNA". It matches the Rfam family "Archaeal small subunit ribosomal RNA", at positions 208 to 716 of the family's 1478-position model. The record is from RNAcentral.
GAUAGGUCUGUGGCCGAUUAGGUUGUUGUUGAUGUAACGGAUCAACAAGCCUACGAUCGGUACGGGUUGUGAGAGCAAUAGCCCGGAGAUGGGUUCUGAGAGAAGAACCCAGGUCCUACGGGACGCAUCAGGCGCGAAAACUUUACAAUGUGCGAAAGCACGAUAAGGGAACUCUGAGUGCCUCCUAAGGAGGCUGUUCAGAUGUUUAAAAAGCAUCUGGAGGAAGGGCUGGGCAAGACCGGUGCCAGCCGCCGCGGUAACACCGGCAGCCCAAGUGGUGGUCACGCUUACUGGGUCUAAAGCGUCCGUAGCCGGCUAGGUAAGUUCCUUGGGAAAUUUGAUCGCUUAACGAUUAAGCUACCUGGGAAUACUAUCUGGCUUGGGACCGGGAGAGGUCAGAGGUACCUCAAGGGUAGGGGUGAAAUCCGUUAAUCCUUGGGGGACCACCGGUAGCGAAGGCGUCUGACCAGACCGGAUCCGACGGUGAGGGACGAAGGCUAGGG